UACUGUGUUGUGCUUUGGAGACAUCGGU
This 28-nucleotide small RNA is filed under the name Bombyx mori (domestic silkworm). RNAcentral's name for it is "ovarian small RNA-21569". Lineage: Eukaryota; Metazoa; Arthropoda; Insecta; Lepidoptera; Bombycidae. The record is from RNAcentral.